AUGUUUAGACAUACUCUGCUUCUAGGAGCAAUUGCUCUAUGUUUACUUUGCCAUGCACUUCAUAUUGAAGGUGAUCGAUUACGUUCUACUAUCCAAGAGUUGAAGGAGGAUGGUCAAACCAAAAGAAUUCUUACAAGUUUGAAGUCAAACUCCAUUGAAAUGACAGCUUUUGGAGAAGAUUCAAGUUCAUGGGGUCAACCAUAUUAUGCGGUGCACCAAACAACUUCUGGAGGUCCUGGCGACAGUUACUAUGGCUUACAUGUCACCACGGAUGUGUAUAGCCACAAUCUAAAACCCGGCCAACAGACUUCGACUGCAAUUUGGGUUAAUCAUGUUGGAGAUGGUGUUAAAUCAAGCUUAAAUACAAUUAGUAUUGGCUGGCAUAUCUAUCCAGAGCACUAUGGAGACUCACAUCCACACUUCUAUACUGACUGGACGAGAGAUGGAUAUGCUCAAACUGGAUGCUUAAACAUGGACUGCCCUGGCUUCAUAAGGGUGAAUGGUGCUGUUAUAGCCCCUGGCGAUGUUAUACAUCCAGUUUCUGGUGUCCCUGGUGGACGUGUACAGAAUAUCACACUCAGACUGCAUAAGGACAAAACAAGCGGAGAUUGGUGGGUAUACUACGGCUUGAACGGCAUCCCCACGGGGGUGGGAUACUUCCCAAGGUCGUUGUUCACCUAUUUGGCAGAAAAGGCAAACCAUGUGGCUUUCGGUGCCUUCGUGGAUGCUGAGAAGGCGCUUCCAACUCCUCCAAUGGGUAGUGGUGUCCUCCCAAAUGGUGGCAAGGGUCAUGCGGCAUCUUUCACCAACCUUCAACUCAUUGAUAAGGAUGGGAAUAGCAGCCCCAUAAAAGCAAACCUGCCCGAGUUAAUUACCAUGGCCAAAUGCCAUUCUAUUACACAUAUUGACCACAGCCAAUGCCUUUAUGGUGGGCCAGGAGGUUGCGUGUGA
Molecule: ribosomal RNA, 951 nt
Filed under: Triticum aestivum (bread wheat)
Lineage: Eukaryota; Viridiplantae; Streptophyta; Magnoliopsida; Poales; Poaceae
Description: partial small subunit ribosomal RNA
Source: RNAcentral